GAUUCCCCUAGUAACUGCGAGUGAAGCGGGAAAAGCUCAAAUUUAAAAUCUGGUAGUCUUUGGCUGCCCGAGUUGUAAUCUAGAGAAGCAUUAUCCGCGCUGGACUGUGUAUAAGUGUCCUGGAAUGGAUCAUCAUAGAGGGUGAGAAUCCCGUCUUUGACACAGACUCCCAGUGCUUUGUGAUGUGCUCUCAAAGAGUCGAGUUGUUUGGGAAUGCAGCUCUAAAUGGGUGGUAAAUUCCAUCUAAAGCUAAAUAUUGGCGAGAGACCGAUAGCGAACAAGUACCGUGAGGGAAAGAUGAAAAGAACUUUGGAAAGAGAGUUAAACAGUACGUGAAAUUGCUGAAAGGGAAACGCUUGAAGUCAGUCGCGUUGGCUGGGGAUCAACCUUGCUUUUGCUUGGCUUACUUCCCAGUUGACGGGUCAGCAUCAGUUUUGACCGGUGGAUAAAGGCUAGGGGAAUGUGGCACCUCCGGGUGUGUUAUAGCCCUUGGUCAU
RNAcentral lists this ribosomal RNA (497 nucleotides) under Termitomyces sp. DKA-2007. RNAcentral's name for it is "eukaryotic LSU rRNA". It matches the Rfam family "Eukaryotic large subunit ribosomal RNA", at positions 73 to 570 of the family's 3401-position model. The record is from RNAcentral. Lineage: Eukaryota; Fungi; Basidiomycota; Agaricomycetes; Agaricales; Lyophyllaceae.